Molecule: ribosomal RNA, 433 nt
Filed under: uncultured bacterium
Lineage: Bacteria
Description: partial 16S ribosomal RNA
Rfam family: Bacterial small subunit ribosomal RNA
Source: RNAcentral
AACGAACGCUGGCGGCAUGCCUAACACAUGCAAGUCGAACGAGACCUUCGGGUCUAGUGGCGCACGGGUGCGUAACGCGUGGGAACCUGCCCUUAGGUUCGGAAUAACUCCACGAAAGGGGUGCUAAUACCGGAUAAUGUCUUCGGACCAAAGAUUUAUUGCCUUUGGAUGGGCCCGAGUUGGAUUAGCUAGUUGGUAGGGUAAAAGCCUACCAAGGCGACGAUCCAUAGCUGGUCUGAGAGGAUGAUCAGCCACACUGGGACUGAGACACGGCCCAGACUCCUACGGGAGGCAGCAGUGGGGAAUAUAGGACAAUGGGCGAAAGCCUGAUCCAGCAAGGCCGCGUGAGUGAUGAAGGCCUUAGGGUUGUAAAGCUCUUUUACCCGGGAUGAUAAUGACAGUACCGGGAGAAUAAGCUCCGGCUAACUCCGUG